RNAcentral lists this ribosomal RNA (285 nucleotides) under uncultured bacterium. RNAcentral describes it as "partial 16S ribosomal RNA". It matches the Rfam family "Bacterial small subunit ribosomal RNA", at positions 333 to 635 of the family's 1533-position model. The record is from RNAcentral.
UGGAUCCUACGGGACGCAGCAGUGGGGAAUAUUGCACAAUGGGGGAAACCCUGAUGCAGCGACGCCGCGUGAGUGAAGAAGUAUUUCGGUAUGUAAAGCUCUCUCAGCAGGGAAGAAAAUGACGGUACCUGACUAAGAAGCCCCGGCUAACUACGUGCCAGCAGCCGCGGUAAUACGUAGGGGGCAAGCGUUAUCCGGAUUUACUGGGUGUAAAGGGAGCGUAGACGGCAGAGCAAGUCUGAGGUGAAAUCCCGCGGCCCAACUGCGGGACUGCUUUGGAAACUG